This 433-nucleotide ribosomal RNA is filed under the name uncultured bacterium. RNAcentral describes it as "partial 16S ribosomal RNA". It matches the Rfam family "Bacterial small subunit ribosomal RNA", at positions 31 to 507 of the family's 1533-position model. The record is from RNAcentral.
AAAGAAAGCUGGCGGCAUGCCUAACACAUGCAAGUCGAACGAGACCUUCGGGUCUAGUGGCGCACGGGUGCGUAACGCGUGGGAACCUGCCCUUAGGUUCGGAAUAACUCCCCGAAAGGGGUGCUAAUACCGGAUAAUGUCUUCGGACCAAAGAUUUAUCGCCUUUGGAUGGGCCCGCGUUGGAUUAGCUAGUUGGUAGGGUAAAAGCCUACCAAGGCGACGAUCCAUAGCUGGUCUGAGAGGAUGAUCAGCCACACUGGGACUGAGACACGGCCCAGACUCCUACGGGAGGCAGCAGUGGGGAAUAUUGGACAAUGGGCGAAAGCCUGAUCCAGCAAUGCCGCGUGAGUGAUGAAGGCCUUAGGGUUGUAAAGCUCUUUUACCCGGGAUGAUAAUGACAGUACCGGGAGAAUAAGCUCCGGCUAACUACGUG